RNAcentral lists this ribosomal RNA (1384 nucleotides) under uncultured organism. Its description in RNAcentral is "bacterial SSU rRNA". It matches the Rfam family "Bacterial small subunit ribosomal RNA". The record is from RNAcentral.
CGAGCGAGAAGCUCCCCUUCGGGGGAGUGGAGAGCGGCGAAAGGGAGAGUAACGCGUGGAUACCUGCCCCCGGAUCCGGGAUAGCCGCGGGAAACUGGGGGUAAUACCGGAUGAUGUCUUCGGACUAAAGGUGAGAUUCCCUCCGAGGAUGGGUUCGCGUCCUAUUAUCUUGUUGGUGGGGUAAUGGCUCACCAAGGCGACCAUGGGUACCGGGCGUGAAAGCGUGGUCCGGCUCACUGGGACUGACACACUGCCCACACACCUACGGGUGGCUGCUAUCAACAAUCUUCAUGAAUGAGCGAAAGCCUGACCGAGCGACCCCGCGUGAGGGAUGAAGGCCCUCCGGUUGUAAACCGCUGACGGUUGGAAGGAAAUCGCAUGGGGCUAUCCUCAUGUGUUGACCCAUCUUCUGAGGAAGUGCGGGCUAAGUUCGUGCCAGCAACCGCGGUAACACGAACCGCACGAACGUUAUUCGGAAUCACUGGGCUUAAAGGGUGCGUAAGCGGUCUGUUAAGUUGGGUGUGAAAUCCCUCGAGCUCAACCGAGGAAUUGCGCCCAAUACUGGCACGCUUGAGGGAGACAGAGGUGAGCGGAACUCAUGGUGGAGCGGUGAGAAUGCGUCCAUAUCCUGAGGAACGCCUGUGGCGAAAGCGGCUCACUGGGUCUUUUCUGACGCUGAGGCACGAAAGCUAGGGUAGCGAACGGGAUUAGAUACCGCGGUAGUCGUGGUUGUAAACGUUGAGCACCGGGUCGUAGGAUUCUCCAUAGUUUUCUGGCCGUAGCGAAAGUGUUAAGUCCUCCGCAUGGGGAGUAUGGUCGCAAGGCUGAAACUCAAAGGAAUUGACGAGGGCUCACACAAGCGGUGGAGGAUGUGGCCUAAUUCGAGGAUACGCGUAGAACCUUAUCCUGGAUUUGACAUGCAUGGAUUAACUCUGUGAAAGCAGAGCCACGCCCUUUGGCUGGAACAUGCACAGGUGAUGCAUGGCCGUCGUCAGCUCGUGUCGUGAGAUGUCGGGUUAAGUCCCUUAACGAGCGAAACCCUUGUCAGUAGUUGCCAGCGGGUCAUGCCGGGGACUCUAGUGAGACUGCCGGUGUUAAACCGGAGGAAGGUGGGGAGGACGUCAAGUCCUCAUGGCCUUUAUGUCCAGGGCUGCACACGUCCUACAAUGGUGCGUGCAAAGGGAAGCGAACUCGCGAGAGCAAGCAAAUCUUAAAAAACGCACUUCAGUUCGGAUUGCAGGCUGCAACUCGCCUUCAUAAGCCGGAAUCGCUAGUAAUCGCGGGUCAGCAUACCCCGGUGAAUGUGUUCCUGAGCCUUGUACACACCGCCCGUCAAGCCACGAAAGCGGGGGGCAUCGGAAGUCGCCGAGGUAACCCGCCAGGG